This is a long non-coding RNA of Homo sapiens (human), 3293 nucleotides long. RefSeq annotates it as long independently transcribed non-coding RNA 3209. The transcript is spliced from 4 exons. Lineage: Eukaryota; Metazoa; Chordata; Mammalia; Primates; Hominidae. The record is from RefSeq and is marked validated.
AGCAACCUGCUCAGGUCCCCUUCCAUGGUGUGGAAGCUUUGUUCUUUCGCUGUUCACAAUGAAUCUUGCUGCUGCUCACUCUUUGGGUCCGCACUAGCUUUAUGAGCUGUAACGCUCACUGCGAAGGUCUGUGGCUUCACUCCUGAAGUCAGCAAGACCACGAACCCACCGGAAGGAGGAAACAACUCCGGAAGCACCACGUUUAAGAGCUGUAACACUCACUGCGAAAGUCUGCAGCUUCACUCCUGAAGUCAGCAAGACCACAAACCCACCGGAAGGAAGAAAUUCCAGACACAUCUAAACAUUGGAAGGAACAAACUCCAGACACACUAUCUUUAAGAACUGUAACACUCACCGCGAGGGUCUGUGGCUUCAUGCUUGAAGUCAGCCGGACCAAGAACCCACCGGAAAGAACCAAUUCCUGACACAAUCAGACAGAGAAUGCUGAUUCACUAUGCAGUGAAACAUGCCUAACGUGUCAACAGCUAAAUGCCCGGUGACAGUGUGGUUGUCUGGGCAACAGAAGAAGUCACCCACGCAAACACUUAAAGGACCAUACUUAUUUUACAAGAGGAACAGUUUUCAAUGGAAUGGAUAUUAAAACACACACCUGGAUCCCUUUACCACAGGUGCUUUGAGAGGCACCAUCAAGGACAGUGAGCUAACGCAGGAGAAUGGAGUCCCAGAAACCUAGGAGGAGAAGACAAAGUGUCAGCCUCUCGGCAUCUGCAGUGUUGCUAGGAAAAGAGCUCUGAUCCCAGGGGCUUACCCACUUCCACAGGUAGGAAGCGUCCCUGAGAGGACUGGAACAUUAGCAUAUCUCAGAUCCAUCUGCAAAACUUUUGCAAACACGGAACUCCCUCGUUCUAAUCUUAUCAGCAACUUCCAGAGCUGAACCUUGAUUAAUCUGGAUACAAAAAGGAUUGAAACGCCACAUAAUAAGCAUUAACAGGAGGGUGUUUCCUUUAUCAAUGAAGCUUGAUUUAUCCAUGAUGAUCUAGUGCAUUCUCCUCCCAAAAAUCAGGAUCAUCCUCUGCAUAUGAAGGAACAGACAAGCCCUCAGCUCUACCACUUUGGAGAGGGGGGGAUUGGACAGCAUGAGCCUUCAAUUGUAUCUCUUGGAUGACCAAGGAAGGCUGGAUUUCUGCACCUAAAAAAUGGAAGCACAAACUGUACAACAAAUACUCUCCAUUCAAGUUGAAGUUCUCAAAUAAGGUAUCCAAUUAACCAAUGUAUUAAUAACAUUGAAAAUAAUAAUCUCAUAGGAAGAUUCCAAAAAUUUCUGGUUUUAUAUCUAGCAAAAACUUCAUGCACUAUGUUUGAUUUGUAUGUAGAACUCAGGGUGAACAUGCCAGUGACAGUGGCAAUGAGAGGGGUAACUGGGGGCCAGAAGCAGGCUGAGGGAGAGGAGAGGAGGGGGCAGAGUGUGCUCAGGGAACCAUGAGCCAUGCAGGAUAAGCAAUAGGGCAGAAUAAACAGGACAUACCCAUCUGUUUAUUCUCUCUGUAUAAUGUUUUGAUUCUCUUUGUACCCUAACUAACCAAGGCACAGCUCAGGAAGUUGCUGCCAGGAUUAGAAAAAGGGAGUUGCACAUUCUCAAAAAGCAAUGGUACAGUGCAAAGAAUGGUAAUUAAUCCCCCAGCACACUUGACCCAGCCCCUAAAGAACUUUGUGACCUUGGGCCAGGCAGGCAGCUCCCAGGCUUCUGUUUUGUCAUUUUUGACCUCUUCUGGCUGCAGUGAUUCAUUUCCAGAUAUAGGUUGCUUCAGCUCAUCUCAAAGUCUUCUUGUAGCCUGUUCUUUGAGAAAUGGUAAUAUAUCUCUUGAAAAGUUUCUUUUUCUUGCAAAGUCACCCAAUUCAUGAGUUAAUGAGGUCCCACCAGUGAUACGAUUGCAGAGUCACAAAUAUCACUAACUGAAAGGAGUAGAAGGAAGGCGGGAAUUGCAGACACACCAUGAGUGGGUGGCCUCCAGGAGAUACACGUGAGACCAGCCCUGUGGUGGGCCAGGUCAGAAGGACUUCUGCUUAGACUAGGUGGAAACUUCUCAGCAUUCUGAGGAGUACCACCAUCUGACUGGCAGUUUGAAGGUAUCACUUGGGCUGCUGUAUCAAGAAUAGACUUCAGAAGACAAGUUGAACGUAGCAAGACCAGUGAGAAAGGUGUCAUAGCCGUCCAAGUGCAGGGUGGCAGUGGAGAUAGGAGUUAUAUUAAGGAGAGAGUCACCAGGAUUUGCUGAUGGGUUAGGUGUGGGCUGUGGAAGAAAGAUCAAAGUCAAGAAUGACUCCAAUGACAUUGUCCUAAGCAAUUGGAAUGAUGAAAUCACAGUUGUUGAGAUGGGGAACCUGCACAUGGAGUGAGUCUGGAGGAGAGAUUAGUUGUUUGGCUUUGGCCAUGCUGAGUUUCAGAUGUGUUUCGACACACAUGUGGAGGGGUUACGCUUGAAUGUCUGAGUCUGACUUUUGUAUUGAGAUGUUCCUAUCCUACUUCUUCCUACCUCCACCCUGCAAAGGAUGGCCAUGGUUAUCUUCAGUGCCCCCACAAAGCUCUGUGCAGAUUCCUGGUAUGUCACAUUUAUUUCAAAUGGCUUUACUGAGAUGUAAUUGAUAUAUAGUUCACCCAUUUAAAUUGGACAAUUGAAUGGUUUUUAGUAUAUUCACAGAGUUUUGAUCAUGUGUAACAUGGUCUAUUUUUAGAAUAUUUUUGUCACCCCUUCCCCUCUAAAAAACCUCAUAGCCAUUAGGAAACAUUCUCCAUUUCCUAGCAUGGUAUUUUAAAAUAGUGACAAUUCCUAUUUUCAAGUCUGUCAGUAAGCCUCUUAAUGGUAGGGACUUCCGUGUUAUUUGUUUUUGCAUUUCACCCUGUAACAAUUACUCAAAAAAGCUGUUGUAUGAAUGAACUACAGUUUGAAAAAUACGACCCCAAGACUGUGUGUCUUUAAGAGAGAACCAACCCUUUGCAUUCCGGUGCUCUUCGUAUGGCUGCCUGUAGCAUUUUUCAGAUCUAGUUGAGAAACCGAUGGGAGGAUAUGGAGAUAAGUCUCAUUACUCUUUUCUUUCUUGGCUAUACUUCUCUAGCAUCUGUUGUAAACAAAACAGAAAAGAGUCUUUCUAAACCUGGUGAAAAUAUCUCAAAUGCAAGGAAGCCAGUGAUGAAAAAUGCAAUAUCAAAGUUCGGGCUGUUACAAACACAUGGCAUAAAUCACAUCUGCUCAUUAAACUUAUUACAAAGAAUGAUAACAAAAGCAAAGAGAUGUCUGAAAAUGUCUUGGGAAAAAUAAAGUAGCUAAUAAAUU